UAACCUGCCCAAGAGACUGGGAUAACACCUGGAAACAGAUGCUAAUACCGGAUAACAACACUAGACGCAUGUCUAGAGUUUAAAGGAUGGUUCUGCUAUCACUCUUGGAUGGACCUGCGGUGCAUUAGCUAGUUGGUAAGGUAACGGCUUACCAAGGCAAUGAUGCAUAGCCGAGUUGAGAGACUGAUCGGCCACAUUGGGACUGAGACACGGCCCAAACUCCUACGGAAGGCAGCAG
Molecule: ribosomal RNA, 238 nt
Filed under: uncultured bacterium
Lineage: Bacteria
Description: partial 16S ribosomal RNA
Rfam family: Bacterial small subunit ribosomal RNA
Source: RNAcentral